UACGGGGGGGGCAAGCGUUGUUCGGAAUUACUGGGCGUAAAGCGUGCGCAGGCGGUUGUGCAAGACAGAUGUGAAAUCCCCGGGCUUAACCUGGGAACUGCAUUUGUGACUGCACGGCUAGAGUGUGUCAGAGGGGGGUAGAAUUCCACGUGUAGCAGUGAAAUGCGUAGAUAUGUGGAGGAAUACCGAUGGCGAAGGCAGCCCCCUGGGAUAACACUGACGCUCAUGCACGAAAGCGUGGGGAGCAAACAGG
RNAcentral lists this ribosomal RNA (253 nucleotides) under uncultured bacterium. Its description in RNAcentral is "partial 16S ribosomal RNA". It matches the Rfam family "Bacterial small subunit ribosomal RNA", at positions 524 to 776 of the family's 1533-position model. The record is from RNAcentral.